UUAGCAGUUUUAGUCUCGGGAGAAGGAGUAACGAAACUACUUGGAGUACCAAAAUUAACCAGAGGAACUGGAGAAGAACAAGCAAAUGCUGUAUUUCAAUUGCUGGAUGAAUGGAAUAUCGUAAACAGAGUAAAUUUUAUGUGUUUUGAUACCACAGCUAGUAACACCGGUAUAAAAAAAGAGGCCUGUACCAUUUUAGAACAAAAAAUCGGAAGAAAUCUCUUAGGUCUAGC
This is a non-coding RNA of Cinara cedri, 233 nucleotides long. NCBI's taxonomy places the organism in Eukaryota, Metazoa, Arthropoda, Insecta, Hemiptera, Aphididae. The record is from the annotation of a GenBank genome assembly.